AGAACGAACGCUGGCGGCAUGCCUAAUACAUGCAAGUCGAACGAACACUUCGGUGUUAGUGGCGCACGGGUGCGUAACGCGUGGGAAUCUGCCCUUGGGUUCGGAAUAACAGUUGGAAACGACUGCUAAUACCGGAUGAUGACGAAAGUCCAAAAGAUUUAUCGCCCAGGGAUGAGCCCGCGUAGGACUUAGCUAGUUGGUGAGGUAAAGGCUCGACCAAGGCGACGAUCCUUAGCUGGUCUGAGAGGAUGAUCAGCCACACUGGGACUGAGACACGGCCCAGACUCCUACGGGAGGCAGCAGUAGGGAAUAUUGGAACAAUGGGCGCAAGCCUGAUCCAGCAAUGCCGCGUGAGUGAUGAGGCUUAGGGUUGUAAAGCUCUUUACCGAGAUGAUAAUGGACUAGUAAUCGGGAAGAAUAACGCCCCGGAUAAACUCCGUCGACCAGCCAACGGCCGAC
Molecule: ribosomal RNA, 459 nt
Filed under: uncultured soil bacterium
Lineage: Bacteria
Description: bacterial SSU rRNA
Rfam family: Bacterial small subunit ribosomal RNA
Source: RNAcentral